CGUCGACAUCACGUUGAAACCCUAAUUUCUGUACGAACACCGAAGUUAAGCAACGUCGAGCUUUGCAAGUACCUAAAUGAGUGACCGCUUUGGAAUUCCAGGUGUUGUAAG
Acanthosepion pharaonis is the source of this 111-nucleotide non-coding RNA. The record is from the annotation of a GenBank genome assembly. Lineage: Eukaryota; Metazoa; Mollusca; Cephalopoda; Sepiida; Sepiidae.